GGCGGCAUGCUUACACAUGCAAGUCGAACGGCAGCACGGGAGCAAUCCUGGUGGCGAGUGGCGAACGGGUGAGUAAUAUAUCGGAACGUGCCCAGUCGUGGGGGAUAACGUAGCGAAAGCUACGCUAAUACCGCAUACGAUCUAUGGAUGAAAGCGGGGGAUCGCAAGACCUCGCGCGAUUGGAGCGGCCGAUAUCAGAUUAGGUAGUUGGUGAGGUAAAGGCUCACCAAGCCGACGAUCUGUACUGGUCUGAGAAGACGACCAGCCACACUGGGACUGAGACACGGCCCAGACUCCUACGGGAAGCACCAGUGGGAAUUUGGACAAUGGGCCCAAGCCUGAUCCAGCAAUGCCGCGU
RNAcentral lists this ribosomal RNA (358 nucleotides) under uncultured Aquaspirillum BIWA921. Its description in RNAcentral is "bacterial SSU rRNA". It matches the Rfam family "Bacterial small subunit ribosomal RNA", at positions 38 to 402 of the family's 1533-position model. The record is from RNAcentral. Lineage: Bacteria; Pseudomonadati; Pseudomonadota; Betaproteobacteria; Neisseriales; Aquaspirillaceae.